This 427-nucleotide ribosomal RNA is filed under the name uncultured Massilia sp. Its description in RNAcentral is "bacterial SSU rRNA". It matches the Rfam family "Bacterial small subunit ribosomal RNA", at positions 355 to 774 of the family's 1533-position model. The record is from RNAcentral. Lineage: Bacteria; Pseudomonadati; Pseudomonadota; Betaproteobacteria; Burkholderiales; Oxalobacteraceae.
UGGGGAAUUUUGGACAAUGGGCGCAAGCCUGAUCCAGCAAUGCCGCGUGAGUGAAGAAGGCCUUCGGGUUGUAAAGCUCUUUUGUCAGGGAAGAAACGGUGAGGGCUAAUAUCCUUUGCUAAUGACGGUACCUGAAGAAUAAGCACCGGCUAACUACGUGCCAGCAGCCGCGGUAAUACGUAGGGUGCAAGCGUUAAUCGGAAUUACUGGGCGUAAAGCGUGCGCAGGCGGUUUUGUAAGUCUGUCGUGAAAUCCCCGGGCUCAACCUGGGAAUUGCGAUGGAGACUGCAAGGCUAGAAUCUGGCAGAGGGGGGUAGAAUUCCACGUGUAGCAGUGAAAUGCGUAGAGAUGUGGAGGAACACCGAUGGCGAAGGCAGCCCCCUGGGUCAAGAUUGACGCUCAUGCACGAAAGCGUGGGGAGCAAACA